Thermoplasmatales archaeon is the source of this 74-nucleotide non-coding RNA. NCBI's taxonomy places the organism in Archaea, Methanobacteriati, Thermoplasmatota, Thermoplasmata, Thermoplasmatales. The record is from Rfam.
GGGCCUGUAGCUUAGAUUGGCAGAGCGCCUGGCUCAUAACCAGGCGGUCAGGGGUUCAAAUCCCCCCAGGCCCA